GCGAUCAUACCAGCACUAAUGCACCGGAUCCCAUCAGAACUCCGAAGUUAGGCGUGUUUGGGCGAGAGUAGUACUAGGAUGGGUGACCCCCUGGGAAGUCCUCGUGUUGCACCCC
This 115-nucleotide ribosomal RNA is filed under the name Salvia splendens (bonfire salvia). Lineage: Eukaryota; Viridiplantae; Streptophyta; Magnoliopsida; Lamiales; Lamiaceae. The record is from RNAcentral.